ACCCUAGAAACAUUUAGAUGAUGG
RNAcentral lists this non-coding RNA (24 nucleotides) under Arabidopsis thaliana (thale cress). Lineage: Eukaryota; Viridiplantae; Streptophyta; Magnoliopsida; Brassicales; Brassicaceae. The record is from RNAcentral.